This 885-nucleotide long non-coding RNA is filed under the name Monodelphis domestica (gray short-tailed opossum). RNAcentral describes it as "lncRNA (ENSMODG00000051025.1)". The record is from RNAcentral. Lineage: Eukaryota; Metazoa; Chordata; Mammalia; Didelphimorphia; Didelphidae.
AUUCACUUUAGAGAUGAGGAAACUAAGGCUAACAGGGUUAAAUGACUCACACAGGUUCACAUAAUUAGUAAUAGACUCCUAAUUGACCUGCUUUUCUCAAAUAUCUCUCUUCUGAAUUCAUCUCCCACAGGAUUGGAAAUCAAAGAACCCUGGUUUGACUCUGCUCUGCUCCUCAUUUCCUGAGUGAUCUCCGGGUUACAAGUUCUUCAUCCGUAAACUAUGGAGGUUGGACUAGAUGGUAUCUAAGAUCCAAUACAAUUUUAAGUCCGAUAAUUCGAUGACUGUCUUACAGAAAUUUUAUUGGAUUCAUAUUAAAACUCUGACUACGAGGUGAAGAGUUUUCUUGGCUGAAGCCAUUGGAACAGUCACUUAGCUUCUCUGGGCCUCAGUUUUCUGAAGUACAAAAUAAAAGGGUUGGACUGUGUCUUCAGAAGUUCCUUCCAGCAUGAUAUCUACAAACACAAAUCCAUGAAACCACUUCCUAAACCAAGAAGAGGUCGUCCAUUGUGUUGGUGGCAAUCACACCACUGUCCUCACUAAUCUUUUGAUAAACCAGUAACAAUCUCAUCUCCUCAGGAUUUUCAAGACCUAGAAAAUGGGGAAGAGAAGUGAGAACAAUUUGGAAACAAAUCCAGAGGAUGGUAACCUUCAACCUUCACAGGAUGGAGAAGUUCAUUUUAAAGAUGAAGAAACCAAGGCAAACAGGAUGAAGUAACUUUCCCAGGGUCACACAACUAGUGUCUGCAUCCAAAUUUGAAUUCAGACCAGUGGAAUCACGCGUCGGCCACGGGGGGUGGGAGGGAGGAAAAGAAAAUGAUCUUUGUCUUUAAUGAAAAAUGCAUGGAAAUGAUCAAAUAAAAUACUAUAAAAUUAAAAAAAAAAACA